Acinonyx jubatus (cheetah) is the source of this 1508-nucleotide long non-coding RNA. RefSeq lists it as uncharacterized. The transcript is spliced from 3 exons. The record is from RefSeq and is a predicted model, not a curated record. NCBI's taxonomy places the organism in Eukaryota, Metazoa, Chordata, Mammalia, Carnivora, Felidae.
UUGGUAGCUACCGUACAAAUGUGUCACGACAAGGUUUAAUUUGGCCUGAGUUAUCCAACCAUUUUGAAAGGAAUGCAUUUUGGUUAAGCAACUUGUUGAUGGUGCACCUCGAAUCUCCGUUGGGGGUAUUUUGAGGGGAUGGGAAGAGAAGAGGCUCGCAUCUCUUACCCAGUUUCCUACCGGAGUUUUCCCGAGGCUCACGGGAGCCUUCUGAACUAAAGACGUUUAGAAUGCAGAAUUGUCGGGGAGACUGUAGAGGAAGGAAGAGUGUAUUUAUAGCUGACGUGGGUUUGUAAACUCAGCCUUUGCUUUGGGAUUAAUUUUUAAUAAGUGCCAGGCAUUCCUCUGAUUUUCAUCCUGGCUUGGCUGUGGCUUUCUCUCGGUCUGUGUGAAGUUCGGGUGUUCCCUGUUUUAAAGCCGGAGUUGUCACAGCCUGGGCGUUUUCUGUUUCGGCUUAUGGCUUUUUUUUUUUUUCUCUUUUCCUGAAUGAGUGUCCUUUGUGUAACCCCAGUAAUUCAGAAAUCCUGCAGUCAUAGGGACUGCCCUGUCAUGUGACUUAGGUACUAGGUGCUGUCUGUGAUUGGUCAGCAGCUAAUUGGCGGGUCCCUAUAAGAGGUCUUGCUUUGGGUGUCCAGCCACCAUCCUGCCCGGAGUGCUGCUCAACAAGGGUGGAGGUGUGUGUGGGGGGGUGGCGGGUGUCCAGUGAUUCAGCUACAUGUGAUAGAUGACCAAGUGACUUCUUCCUUGGGGUCUGCACAUCACUAGAAGACACCCAACACCGGUGGUGGCCGACUUGAUCAAACUCUGCCUCCCCGAACUGGAAUGAAAUGCAGUUAACUCUUUAGAAAACUUUCGCAGGAAAAGCGCCUCGUGUGAUCUGGAACAAAGACAUUUUAUAAUCAGAUUUAUCAAGCUGUGAAGAGGGAGUUGUAGCGAACGGAAGCAGCAGCAUUCUGUCACCAGGAAAUACUGCUUUAUCCAGAAUUGAACCCCUCCCCAGAAGGCUGCGGAUCACCUAGCUGCUGGCAUGUGUAGGUACCCUCAAUGGCUCAGUAGCCAGUGUAGAUCCUGUCUUUUGUAAUCAGUAGCUACAUCUGGCUACUGGGUCUCUGAUGGCAUCUUCUGGCUUCUGUUACAGUGUCCUGAGUGAGGUUACUGGGGAGUCCUUAAUAAUUCACUUGUUGCCUUGAUUUACACACACACACACACACACACAGAGUUAAGUUCCCGAGUGGUAACUCUUCCAUUAUUAGCUGGAGUGUGAGAACCAUCAAGGUUUUAUGAAUGAUGAGGUGACUUGAUUUCAGCACCACAAGACGGGGGAAUCCAUAGACUCUCUUUUUCUUUCCUCUUUUCCCCAUGUGGAAGGUGUCAUCUGGUCACAAAACCAUCUGUCUACCUACCUACUUCUCUACCUGUAUAUCUUAUUCAUCCUUCCGUCCACCCAUCCACCCACCCACCCACCCAUCCAUCCAUCCAUCCACCCAUCCACCCACCCAUCCAUCCGU